RNAcentral lists this ribosomal RNA (253 nucleotides) under uncultured bacterium. Its description in RNAcentral is "partial 16S ribosomal RNA". It matches the Rfam family "Bacterial small subunit ribosomal RNA", at positions 524 to 776 of the family's 1533-position model. The record is from RNAcentral.
UACGGGGGAUGCAAGCGUUGUCCGGAAUCAUUGGGCGUAAAGAGUUCGUAGGUGGCAUAUUAAGUCUGGUGUUAAAUGCAGGGGCUCAACCUCUGUUCGGCACUGGAUACUGGUAAGCUUGAAUGCGGUAGAGGUAAAGGGAAUUCCUGGUGUAGCGGUGAAAUGCGUAGAUAUCAGGAGGAACAUCGGUGGCGUAAGCGCUUUACUGGGCCGUAAUUGACACUGAGGAACGAAAGCCAGGGUAGCAAAUGGG